This 152-nucleotide non-coding RNA is filed under the name Desulforamulus ruminis. Its description in RNAcentral is "Desulfotomaculum ruminis GlcN6P sequence". It matches the Rfam family "glmS glucosamine-6-phosphate activated ribozyme aptamer". Rfam says of the family: This entry contains a glucosamine-6-phosphate activated ribozyme that is found in the mRNA for GlmS. GlmS is an enzyme that uses fructose-6-phosphate and glutamine to generate glucosamine-6-phosphate. The ribozyme catalyses self cleavage of the glmS mRNA that is thought to regulate GlmS activity. Lineage: Bacteria; Bacillati; Bacillota; Clostridia; Eubacteriales; Peptococcaceae. RNAcentral also lists the same sequence under 1 other name. The record is from RNAcentral.
AAAUAAAAUCAAGCGCCAGGACCCUGGAAGCACCGGGGUUGACGAGGAGAGGGAGUAUCGAAGGUUCGGCGGAUGCCCUCCGGCCGGUCACGGCCGUAAGCGCAGUACAAAACCCGGAGGCAACUCCGGCACAAAGACUGCAGGUGACCAAC